AUGGGAGUACCAGAGUCUCGUCAUUUCUCUGUGGAUUUACCAGAGCCUCUCCAGGUCUCUGAUGAACUACCAGAGUCUCUCCAUGUAUCUGAUGAUUUACCAGAGUCUCUCCUCGCUUCUGCGGAACUUCCAGAGCCUCGUCACAUCUCAGUUGAACUCUCUGAGCACCCGACUGAUCCUGCUGUGGCCAUGGAGGCUACCCUUAACUUGUUCAGAUUAUUUGUUUCAGAGCCAGAUUAUUUGUUUCAGAGCCAGAUUAUUUGUUUCAGACUUGCCCAAUCAGACGUAUCCUCCUGUUUAAUCGGCCACAUGGAGGUGGUGGUCUUCUGCUCUGCCCUGGGAGGCGUCUGGUUCGGACAAAUGGAUGUGGUGGUCUUCUGCUCCACCCUGGGGGGCGUCUGGUUCGGAAGCACGGAUUUGGUGGUCUUCUGCUCUGCCCUGGGGGGCGUCUGGUUCAGACGCACAGAUGUGGUGGUCUUCUGCUCCGCCCUGGGGGGUGUCUGGUUCGGACACACGGAUGUGGUGGUCUUCUGCUCUGCCCUGGGGGGCGUCUGGUUCGGACACACUGAUGUGGUGGUCUUCUGCUCCGCCCUGGGGGGCAUCUGGUUCGGACGCACUGAUGUGGUGGUCUUCUGCUUCGCCCUGGGGGGGGGUCUGGUUCGGCCGCACAGAUGUGGUGAUCUUCUGCUCCGCCCUGGGGGGCGUCUGGUUUGGACGCACAGAUGUGGUGGUCUUCUGCACCGCCUUGGUGGGCGUCACGUGAUGUCCUUCUUGGACUUGUGUUUUUGUGUUUUUUUUUUGUUUUGUUUUUUCUGUCUGUCUUCCUCCUAUGAACCGUCCCUCCCCCUGAUCCUCCGCUGGUCCACCUCCCUCCUGCACUCCUUGUUUUGUGUUGCACUUCUCUUGUCUCCGUUUCCCCAUUUUACCUGGUCGUCUUGUCUCCGUUUCCCCAUUCUACCUGGUCCUCUUGUCUCUGUUUUACCAUUUUAUCUGGCCCUCCGUCCCUCCCCCUGGUCCUCCGCCAUUCCACCUCCCUCCUGGUCUCUUUGUGUCUUUGGUUUUCCUUUGGGUUCGGGUGGAGCAUCUGGCAGCUGCUCCGUGGAGGAGGGGGUAAUAUGUCACACUAUCUAG
This 1131-nucleotide long non-coding RNA is filed under the name Carassius auratus (goldfish). RNAcentral's name for it is "lncRNA (ENSCARG00000060266.1)". The record is from RNAcentral. Lineage: Eukaryota; Metazoa; Chordata; Actinopteri; Cypriniformes; Cyprinidae.